GCAGUGACAGUAACGUGCAGCAUGAGAACCUGCUGCAGGUUCGGGUCGAACGAAGUGAGACAACGUUGUUAGCAACGGCCCGCAGGGCGAGCGUCAGCGAGUCAUCCUGCACGACCCACCA
This 121-nucleotide small RNA is filed under the name Tatumella citrea. RNAcentral's name for it is "RtT sRNA". It matches the Rfam family "RtT RNA". From Rfam's summary of the family: This family represents a bacterial cis-regulatory element known as RtT RNA. The exact function of RtT is unknown although it is thought that it may be involved in changing the cellular response in relation to amino acid starvation. Lineage: Bacteria; Pseudomonadati; Pseudomonadota; Gammaproteobacteria; Enterobacterales; Erwiniaceae. The record is from RNAcentral.